Molecule: ribosomal RNA, 465 nt
Filed under: Vreelandella stevensii
Lineage: Bacteria; Pseudomonadati; Pseudomonadota; Gammaproteobacteria; Oceanospirillales; Halomonadaceae
Description: partial 16S ribosomal RNA
Rfam family: Bacterial small subunit ribosomal RNA
Source: RNAcentral
CCUACGGGGGGCAGCAGUGGGGAAUAUUGGACAAUGGGCGAAAGCCUGAUCCAGCCAUGCCGCGUGUGUGAAGAAGGCCUUCGGGUUGUAAAGCACUUUCAGUGGGGAAGAAAGCCUUGGGGCUAAUACCCUCGAGGAAGGACAUCACCCACAGAAGAAGCACCGGCUAACUCCGUGCCAGCAGCCGCGGUAAUACGGAGGGUGCGAGCGUUAAUCGGAAUUACUGGGCGUAAAGCGCGCGUAGGCGGUCUGAUAAGCCGGUUGUGAAAGCCCCGGGCUCAACCUGGGAACGGCAUCCGGAACUGUCAGGCUAGAGUGCAGGAGAGGAAGGUAGAAUUCCCGGUGUAGCGGUGAAAUGCGUAGAGAUCGGGAGGAAUACCAGUGGCGAAGGCGGCCUUCUGGACUGACACUGACGCUGAGGUGCGAAAGCGUGGGUAGCAAACAGUAUUAGAUACCCUUGUAGUC